This 450-nucleotide ribosomal RNA is filed under the name uncultured bacterium. RNAcentral describes it as "partial 16S ribosomal RNA". It matches the Rfam family "Bacterial small subunit ribosomal RNA", at positions 338 to 795 of the family's 1533-position model. The record is from RNAcentral.
CCUACGGGGGGCUGCAGUGGGGAAUUUUGGUCAAUGGGGGCAACCCUGAUCCAGCCAUGCCGCGUGCGGGAAGAAGGCCUUCGGGUUGUAAACCGCUUUUGUCGGGGAAGAAACGGUCUGCGCUAAUACCGCGGACUAAUGACGGUACCCGAAGAAUAAGCACCGGCUAACUACGUGCCAGCAGCCGCGGUAAUACGUAGGGUGCAAGCGUUAAUCGGAAUUACUGGGCGUGGCUUUUCAACACGCGUCUGAAAUCCCCGGGCUCAACCUGGGAACUGCAUGUGUGACUGCAUGGCUGGAGUGCGGCAGAGGGGGAUGGAAUUCCGCGUGGAGCAGUGAAAUGCGUAGAUAUGCGGAGGAACACCGAUGGCGAAGGCAAUCCCCUGGGCCUGCACUGACGCUCAUGCACGAAAGCGUGGGGAGCAAACAGGAUUAGAUACCCUUGUAGUC